Molecule: non-coding RNA, 89 nt
Organism: Mus musculus (house mouse)
Lineage: Eukaryota; Metazoa; Chordata; Mammalia; Rodentia; Muridae
Source: Rfam
CUGGCCGCCAGGGCCUUGUACAUGGUAGGCUUUCAUUCAUUUUUUGCACAUUCGGUGAAGGUCCUACUGUGUGCCAGGCCCUGUGCCAG